This 1083-nucleotide ribosomal RNA is filed under the name Chelonaplysilla sp. 3 JV-2020. RNAcentral describes it as "partial large subunit ribosomal RNA". It matches the Rfam family "Eukaryotic large subunit ribosomal RNA", at positions 56 to 941 of the family's 3401-position model. The record is from RNAcentral. Lineage: Eukaryota; Metazoa; Porifera; Demospongiae; Dendroceratida; Darwinellidae.
GAGAAGAAACUAACAAGGAUUCCCCCAGUAACGGCGAGCGAAGCGGGAAAUUGCUCAAAUUUGAAAUCUCCGGUGCCUGCACCGGCGAAUUGUAGUCUGGAGGCGCGGUUUCGCCCUAGGCGGUGUCCUCAAAGUCGUCCUGGAAAGGCGGGCCGAAGAGGGUGAGAGCCCCGUGCGCGGGGGCACCGCCGAAGGCAAGAUCCGACGCCGAAGAGUCGGGCUGUUUGGGAUUGCAGUCCAAAAAGGGUGGUAAACUCCAUCUAAAGCUAAAUACCGGCACGAGACCGAUAGCGAACAAGUACCGUGAGGGAAAGAUGAAAAGCACUUUGAAAAGAGAGUCAAAUAGUACGUGAAACCGUCGGGAGGGAAACGAACGAGGUCGGUGCGGCGACCGCGCAGGCUCAGUCAUCCGCGGAGGGGAGCGACGAACGGACCGAGACGGUCCCCCGCCGUGCAACCGAAGCGGGGACGUAUUUCUCGCGGUCGCGGACCAACGGCGGUUGGAUCCGGGGCAAAAGGAGCGGCGGAAGGUAAGCAGGCGGGGCCUCGGCCCCGCAGGCUACUUACAGACCCGCUAUCCGGCGCUCGGGUCCGACCGAGGAAUGGGCAGCCCUUGCCCGCUGGGUGCACGCCGUACGGCGGGGCCCACCCCCGGAGGCGAACCGGCAGUCCGGGACUGCACGCAGUGUCGGUCUAGCCGGGGAGUCUGCCGGGGAGUGGCGUCACUCGUGCGCCAGUGCCGCUGGUAUUCGGACGGCCUCGUCCGACCCGUCUUGAAACACGGACCAAGGAGUGCAACAUGUGCGCGAGCCCUUUGGCGAGUAAACCAGAAGGCGCAAUGAAAGUGAAGGCGCGGUCGCCGCGCUGAGGUGAGAGCCCAGUCCGGGCGCAUCAUCGACCGACUCCAUCCGAGCCCUCCGGUGCGGCGGAGUUCGAGUAAGAGCGUACCUGUUGCGACCCGAAAGAUGGUGAACUAUGCCUGAAUAGGGUGAAGCCAGAGGAAACUCUGGUGGAGGCCCGCAGCGAUUCUGACGUGCAAAUCGAUCGUCGAAUUUGGGUAUAGGGCGAAAGACUAAUCGAACC